Molecule: small RNA, 134 nt
Filed under: Stanieria cyanosphaera
Lineage: Bacteria; Bacillati; Cyanobacteriota; Cyanophyceae; Pleurocapsales; Dermocarpellaceae
Also listed under: 1 other name
Description: c-di-AMP sequence
Rfam family: c-di-AMP riboswitch aptamer (ydaO/yuaA leader)
About the family: This family represents a conserved RNA structure found upstream of the ydaO and yuaA genes in Bacillus subtilis and related genes in other bacteria. The ydaO/yuaA element is thought to act as a genetic "off" switch for the ydaO and yuaA genes in its native state.
Source: RNAcentral
UUUAAUUAAUUACUUAAGCUUAUAAGAAACGGGGGAACCAUAAUCUGGGGCUAAUUUUCAUUGUUAAUCUGUGAAAAAGAACAACUCUCAGUUCUAGUCCGUCAGCUAACUCCGUAGGCAUUGAGAGUGGACUG